RNAcentral lists this unclassified non-coding RNA (379 nucleotides) under uncultured Oligoflexales bacterium. Its description in RNAcentral is "contains 16S-23S intergenic spacer region". The record is from RNAcentral. Lineage: Bacteria; Pseudomonadati; Bdellovibrionota; Oligoflexia; Oligoflexales.
UCCGUGUUAACCACGGCAGUCUCGCUAGAGUGCCCAACUUAAUGCUGGCAACUAACGACAGGGGUUGCGCUCGUUGAGGGACUUAACCCGACAUGCCACCACACGAGCUGACGACAGCCAUGCAGCACCUGUCUCUUUGUCAUAUUGCUAUGAAAGCUGUAUCUCUACAGUUGUCAAAGGAUGUCAAACCUAGGUAAGGUUCUGCGCGUUGCUUCGAAUUAAACCACAUAAUCCACCGCUUGUGCGGGCUCCCGUCAAUUCCUUUGAGUUUUAGUCUUGCGACCGUACUUCCCAGGCGGGGUACUUAUUGCGUUAGCUCCGAGACGGCAGGGGUCAACUCCCACCAUCUCUAGUACCCAUCGUUUACAGCGUGGACUAC